AAACCAGCACCUCAAGUGGUCAGGAUGAUUAUUGGGCCUAAAGCAUCCGUAGCCGGCUCUGUAAGUUUUCGGUUAAAUCUGUACGCUCAACGUACAGGCUGCUGGGAAUACUGCAGGGCUAGGGAGUGGGAGAGAUAGACGGUACUCGGGAGGAAGUGGUAAAAUGCUUUGAUCUCUCGAUGACCACCAGUGGCGAAGGCGGUCUACCAGAACACGUUCGACGGUGAGGGAUGAAAGCUGGGGGAGCAAACCGGAUUAGAAACCCCAGUAGUCC
Molecule: ribosomal RNA, 274 nt
Filed under: uncultured bacterium
Lineage: Bacteria
Description: partial 16S ribosomal RNA
Rfam family: Archaeal small subunit ribosomal RNA
Source: RNAcentral